UGCGGGAUAGAGCAGAGGUCAGCUCGCCAUCCUCAUAAGGUGGAGGUCGUCGGUUCGAAUCCGGCUCCCGCAA
Molecule: transfer RNA, 73 nt
Filed under: Roseobacter phage DSS3P8
Lineage: Duplodnaviria; Heunggongvirae; Uroviricota; Caudoviricetes
Rfam family: tRNA
About the family: Transfer RNA (tRNA) molecules are approximately 80 nucleotides in length.
Source: Rfam by way of RNAcentral